Molecule: long non-coding RNA, 747 nt
Organism: Phragmites australis (common reed)
Lineage: Eukaryota; Viridiplantae; Streptophyta; Magnoliopsida; Poales; Poaceae
Exons: 2
Source: RefSeq, a predicted model, not a curated record
GACCGAGACCAAGAUGUCCUCCUCCUAGACCAGUCUGAGGGAUUGCUUCACCGCAACAGAAGAAAGAAGGCGGAGGGAGGCGGCCAGAGAGCUUGCGUCGGCGGUGGGCUUGGAGAGGGUGUCGACGCGCUGCGAGUUCAAGCUCACAGACGGUGGAGCUCAACGCCCUCGAAAACCGGAGCUGCCUGGGACAUCGCGUGCAAGAUUCCUCUGACCUGGGUCCCGCCGGCUCCACCUUUUGGCGGCUCGGAUCCACGGGCGGCCGGCGGCCAUGGGGAUUUCGGGACGCGGGAGUGCGGCCAGCGAGGGAGUGGCCGACGUCCUACGCAAGAGGAGGCUGGCUGCCGGUAGUCUGUCGAGGACGAGGACGAACGACGGUGGCAACAUAUAUCUGCCCGGACCCUGCCCACCGCCUUUUGGUGGCCGAGGGGCGAAGGAUCAUGACCAGCUUGCUCGGGCAGAACCCUUCAACCUCUGAUUAGAACAGCUUCAGCCGGAGAGUUAAAAUGAUACCCUGAAGGCAAUAUACUCACAGCUGAAUUUAUUCCAUUAAAACCAGAGUGCAUUGUAAAGUGAUUGGAGUGAGAUUUGUAUACAUGUGUGAUUUGUAUUGUGUUCAUUGUUGAUUGGAGAGAUGUAAAGAGAUGGAAAUUGCACAUGGUUGCAAUUUAUAAUAGUACAAGCAUAGUCUUACCUGUUAUGUCUACAUAUUGAACCAAUUUCUAUUGUAAAGUUAGUUUCUGAAAA